UUUUACAAUGGAGAGUUUGAUCCUGGCUCAGGAUGAACGCUAGCGGCAGGCUUAACACAUGCAAGUCGAGGGGCAGCGGGAAAGUUGCUUGCAACUUUUGCCGGCGACCGGCGCACGGGUGCG
This 123-nucleotide ribosomal RNA is filed under the name Rikenellaceae bacterium. RNAcentral's name for it is "partial 16S ribosomal RNA". It matches the Rfam family "Bacterial small subunit ribosomal RNA", at positions 1 to 110 of the family's 1533-position model. Lineage: Bacteria; Pseudomonadati; Bacteroidota; Bacteroidia; Bacteroidales; Rikenellaceae. The record is from RNAcentral.